RNAcentral lists this ribosomal RNA (379 nucleotides) under uncultured bacterium. Its description in RNAcentral is "bacterial SSU rRNA". It matches the Rfam family "Bacterial small subunit ribosomal RNA", at positions 521 to 896 of the family's 1533-position model. The record is from RNAcentral.
UAAUACGUAGGGGGCAAGCGUUGUCCGGAUUUAUUGGGCGUAAAGCGCGCGUAGGCGGCCGAUCACGUCGGGUGUGAAAGCUCAGGGCUCAACCCUGAGAUGCCAUUCGAUACGGGUCGGCUAGAGGUAGGUAGGGGAGAGUGGAAUUCCUGGUGUAGCGGUGAAAUGCGCAGAUAUCAGGAGGAACACCGGUGGCGAAGGCGGCUCUCUGGGCCUUACCUGACGCUGAGGCGCGAAAGCUGGGGGAGCGAACAGGAUUAGAUACCCUGGUAGUCCCAGCCGUAAACGUUGGGUGCUAGGUGUGGGGAGGCCUUCAACCCUUUCCGUGCCGAAGCUAACGCAUUAAGCACCCCGCCUGGGGAGUACGGCCGCAAGGCUA